This 253-nucleotide ribosomal RNA is filed under the name uncultured bacterium. Its description in RNAcentral is "partial 16S ribosomal RNA". It matches the Rfam family "Bacterial small subunit ribosomal RNA", at positions 524 to 776 of the family's 1533-position model. The record is from RNAcentral.
UACGUAGGAUCCGAGCGUUAUCCGGAGUUAUUGGGUGUAAAGAGCGCGUAGGCGGACUGGUAAGUCAGCUGUGAAAGUUUACGGCUCAACCGUGAGAUUGCAGUUGAUACUGUUGGUCUUGAGUAUACAUGAGGUGGGCGGAAUUUGUGGUGUAGCGGUGAAAUGCUUAGAUAUCACAAAGAACUCCAAUGGCGAAGGCAGCUAACUGGGGUAUAACUGACGCUGAUGCACGAAGGUGUGGGGAUCAAACAGG